RNAcentral lists this ribosomal RNA (462 nucleotides) under uncultured Acidovorax sp. RNAcentral describes it as "bacterial SSU rRNA". It matches the Rfam family "Bacterial small subunit ribosomal RNA", at positions 919 to 1382 of the family's 1533-position model. The record is from RNAcentral. Lineage: Bacteria; Pseudomonadati; Pseudomonadota; Betaproteobacteria; Burkholderiales; Comamonadaceae.
ACCCGCACAAGCGGUGAUGAUGUGGUUUAAUUCGAUGCAACGCGAAAACCUUACCCACCUUUGACAUGUACGGAAUCCUUUAGAGAUAGAGGAGUGCUCGAAAGAGAACCGUAACACAGGUGCUGCAUGGCUGUCGUCAGCUCGUGUCGUGAGAUGUUGGGUUAAGUCCCGCAACGAGCGCAACCCUUUGUCAUUAGUUGCUACAUUCAGUUGGGCACUCUAAUGAGACUGCCGGUGACAAACCGGAGGAAGGUGGGGAUGACGUCAAGUCCUCAUGGCCCUUAUAGGUGGGGCUACACACGUCAUACAAUGGAUGGUACAAAGGGUCGCCAACCCGCGAGGGGGAGCCAAUCCCAUAAAGCCAUUCGUAGUCCGGAUCGCAGUCUGCAACUCGACUGCGUGAAGUCGGAAUCGCUAGUAAUCGUGGAUCAGAAUGUCACGGUGAAUACGUUCCCGGGUCUU